GUCUUCAGAGGCCUCAGAUGUGUCUGCGGCCCCAGGGACGAGAAAGGGAUGCCGGUCUCGGCCGCCCCCACCAAUUGAUCCAUGAUCGGCUUGGCCAGGGCGCCGGGCAGCGAGAGCGCCGCCGCGCCGUUGGGCGGCAGAGUCAGCGCGGGGAAGAAGGGCGGCUGGUGACCCAGCACCGCGCUCAUGGCGAAGUCCGGCGCCCGGUGAGUGACUUCGCAGGAAGAAGAGCUGGAUGAUGGUUGGAAGGUUCCAGAAGACAUCAUGGGGAGGCACCUCAGGACGGAAAAGUGAAUUAUCCACAAGGAUUCAGUGGCUGCGCUCCUGAUCAAAGGCUGGUGUUGGGAAAGUCUCUGAGGUCAGAAUUGUGAAACGGGACUGAAGGCGCUGACAAUUCUGCAGCAGCACAGACUCUGGGGAGAAGGUGAGAAGAAUGAGGAAAUGGAGGCAUCCCUGCUCUCUCCUCUGCUUAUCUUUCCUGCACUCUCCAAAGAUGAGGAAACUGAUGCUCAGUGAGAUUACCUUUGCCCAAGUUCUGGAAAGUGAUGGAGGCAGCUUUCAGAUGCAGGAUCUUAAUCCUCCGACCAGAGAUUGAACCUGGGUCACGGCAGUGCAGACGCUGAGACCUAACCACUGGACCGCCAGGGAGCUCCCAUUAACUCAUUUAA
Long non-coding RNA from Balaenoptera ricei (Rice's whale), 668 nucleotides. RefSeq lists it as uncharacterized. The transcript has 4 exons. The record is from RefSeq and is a predicted model, not a curated record. NCBI's taxonomy places the organism in Eukaryota, Metazoa, Chordata, Mammalia, Artiodactyla, Balaenopteridae.